Long non-coding RNA from Lolium rigidum, 979 nucleotides. RefSeq lists it as uncharacterized. The transcript is spliced from 7 exons. Lineage: Eukaryota; Viridiplantae; Streptophyta; Magnoliopsida; Poales; Poaceae. The record is from RefSeq and is a predicted model, not a curated record.
UGUGUUGUCUGAUGCCACUUCCGGCUUCACCUACUUCUGGCUUCGUCUCUCUCGUCUCGCGUUAGUCCUGGAUGGCCCUCGGCUUCACCUACUUCCGGCUUCAUCUCUGUCCUGGCUGCACGGUAUAGGCUGUUGGCACCAAGGGGACCUACUGCAACAACUGCAGUCUCGGCCUCGGCUACAAAUCCCUGCUGGUGAACCAGUACACCUGUAUCUCUUGUCGACGUCUUCUGACGACCACAUCCCCAACAAAUUGAUACGAGUAACUGAAAAUGCUAUGUAUAUAGAACAUGGAUGGCUGAAUAUACUUUUAUGCUAGGCCAAGUAGCAAACGAGAAGCAGAAAAUCCAAGGUCUGAAUUAUGUAGGGAAACUGGAGGGUCCACUUCUAAUCUUGGCUUGAAGUCCAUUUUUGUCGGAUACACAAAGUUACUCGUUUCUCUUUCACAUUAGGUUGUUCCUGCUGCAAGGGUGCGUUGUGUGGUCAAGGCCAAUGGAACCUGCUGCCAGGCGUAAGUGAUCACCUACAACAGCAACAACUGCAGUCUCAGCCACAAAUCCCCGCUGGUCAGCCUCGGUCCACAUGGAGCUGCUGCAGGCGUCUUCUCACGACCACGUCCCCGAGCAAUUGCUAUGAGUAACUGAAAAAAAGUGUAUCCCGAUCCACAGAAGAUUGUGCAGCACCACAGGAACGAUGAAAGGUUACGGUAGACGGAAGAAAGAAAUUUGAGUGUGACCAGCUUCGUCGGCAUGUUGAGGAAGAGGUUAUUUCCGUACUAAAAUGCGCACUCCAGGGCGUACCUUUUUUCAUGGGGCUUCUCAGGAGGCACGCCAUGCGGAAUGGCUGGCUUCGCUAGAGGAAUGGGUGGUGGUAUGCCUCAGGGAAUGGGUGGUGGUUUUCCUGGAGAUGGAGGUGCACCUGGUCCCGGUGUCUGCAUUUGGUGACCCUGAGGUCGCUGCGGCUUCAAGAUGGUAUAGUU